GUGCGACGCUCCUGAAACGAACGCACCAUGGUUCGAGCGAGCUGUCACUUUUUUUACUCGCGCGUGUCCGAUCAUGUUCGUGUUGACGGUGUUUGCUGAAGUUUUAGGGGAAACCCGGAUUUUUCGCGUUGAGGCGGUCGUUUAAGCCAAUUGGCCACAUCCGGCGAUUGGCAAUCAAGUUGCCGAACGCGAUCCUAGUGUUGGUUGGACGGAUGUUCGAAGUUCGAAUUGGAGCGGCUCCGGGAUGGCGGAACUUUGGGGACUUCUUCCACACGUUUCCGGCAGAAAAAAUCUGCCGAGUCACCGAUCCGGAAAAGCAAAUUUGAAAUUGUCAACCAUUUUGGGGACUUCUCCCACCGGGUUCGCUAACGGGACACAACCCAACGGAUGCGUUCGAUUGGGAGAGGACCCGGCGCCUGCUGCGGUCACUUUCAGCCGUGUUUGUUCCGGAUGGUGAGCUCGUCUCGCCUGGAGGCGAAAAUCGUUAGGGGCUAAUUUCACUAAGGAUUGUGCUUCUAGAUUACGCGAAUGUCUAUCCCAAUUUCGAAGCAGUUGAUCCGGCACCGGCUACGGACAUCCCGAAUAAUUUCAAACAGUGCGGAUUGAAGCGGAAUAACAAAAGAAAACGACAC
Long non-coding RNA from Culex quinquefasciatus (southern house mosquito), 632 nucleotides. RefSeq lists it as uncharacterized. NCBI's taxonomy places the organism in Eukaryota, Metazoa, Arthropoda, Insecta, Diptera, Culicidae. The transcript has 4 exons. The record is from RefSeq and is a predicted model, not a curated record.